RNAcentral lists this long non-coding RNA (2369 nucleotides) under Capsicum annuum. RNAcentral describes it as "long non-coding RNA (CANN_LNC000237)". The record is from RNAcentral. Lineage: Eukaryota; Viridiplantae; Streptophyta; Magnoliopsida; Solanales; Solanaceae.
GAGACAAAUAUAAAUUAGUUAUACAGAGGCACAAGACAAACCUUGAAUAGAAGUUCUAUAUCGUCUUACUGAGAUCAUUUUGCGCCUAAGCAUCUUGAUUUCCCCCUCUACUAUCAUCAUUCCUCCAGCUUGGUUUACUCAUGGAUCUUAGGACAAACGUCUUCAUUUCAGUACUGCUUUUAAUGUCCAUUUCUCUAAGAAAUGGAAAUUCUAGAGCGUUCUUCAUCAGAAAGAAAUGAAAUGUGGUAGCUUGCUAAGCUCCAGCUUUUCCAACAGGGAAAUAAGAACUUGUUAGUCAUUUCUUCUCCUAGUUCCUCUCCCGUCAUCACUUCUCCUUUGAUGGAUAAUUUACUAUCAACAAUAUUCAGAGAUUCAAAACAUAUAUGGAGACAUCAAGUUUCACAAUUUGUCAUACUGAUUACUUCCAAUAUUUUGAGUUCACUGAACUAGCCAGUCGGCCGGGGGUCUAUCGGAAACAGCCUCUCUACCUCUUGAGAGGUAGUGGUAUGGAUUGCGUACACACUACCCUACCCUCCCCAGACCCCACUAUGUGGGAAUAUACUGGGUUUGUUGUUGUUGUUGAAAUAGUCAGUCGAAAGUUGGUGAGAGCGUAAAGCGGUUAUGUUGUCAUCCCCAACGAGGUCUAGUCUUUACAGGCUCAAAAGUUUGGAAGCCAUGCAUUUCAUACAUCUUCAAUUACAAACAGAAAAAAUGGAACCACAUCUCAAUAUCCAACAUUAAGGUAACAUGAAGUAAAGAAAUCCAUUCAACUUGGUCGGCACAUUUUUUGAGCCAUUUCUGCUUGUGAAUAUACGUUCGCUCUUCUUAUUUCUCAUCAGGAGGCAGAUUCAAUAACCCAAUGAGAUGGUCUCAAUAACAUGGAGAUCUAUAUUCAUGUAAUAAGUGUUUGACAGCAAAGACACAUGGCAAAAACAACCUUCGUCCACUUUUAAAUCGUAGUGUUAACUUGGAGGAACGGACCACUCUAAUAAAAUUCAUAUCCAAAACUCUAUUAGUCAAUUUUUGUAUCUUUUGUGACAACACCUUUAAACAAGGGCGUAAUGGAGCUACAUAUUAACACAUUGAGUUUACUCAUUCCAACGAAUAAAUCAUUAAAAUAGUUUUAACAUUCACCACUCAAGCAAAACAUUGGUUUAGGAUCAACUACCAAAUAAUUUUCUAUAUUGAAAAUGAAAAGCACGAACAACAUUGGAUAUCAUCACAAAUUCCUUUCCAGACGAAUCUAAUUCGAGAGUUCUAUGCAAUCACAAACCCCUCCUUAAUCUGGUCCGAGAAUUUUAUGCGAUUACAAAUCGCUUCUGGUCCGAGAAUUUUAUGCGAUUACAAAUCGCUUCUCGAAGCUAGAUGCUCUAGAAGCUAGUGAGAGAAUUUUAUGCAAUUACUGCCUGCCGAAAAUAGUCCGAAAAUCCUAUAACGGGUGAGAUAAAAAAUUCUAUGCUAUUACCAAUCUCUUCCUAUAACGGGUGAGAUCAAACUCUAACACGUGCCUAUUCUAUUACCAAUCUCUUCGGUGCGAUCAAACACGUGCCUACUUCGGGUGCGAUCAAACUCUACAGCCUUUUUAGAACAUGUGCCUGCUCUGGUUUAACUACACGUUCAACAGCCAAAUCCGCACUUUGGAAGAAGCAGCUCCUAAACCAAAUCCACACUUUGGAAGAAAAGGAGAGGAUCUUCAUCCGAGAAAGGGAGGACCUUAUAGUUAGGAUGGCCUUCUGCAUCCGCAGUGAAAACAACUAAGCGUUGUUCGACUCAUCUGGAGUUGAAGAAGGUUUAACUGAAUGUCUGUUCUGUAAUGUGUUUUAAUUAAAGUUGUUCUUGUUUUUUGUGGAGAUCUACUACUAUGCGUUGCAUCUUCGUUGAGUAUGUAUUCCCUUAUAAUGUUGUGUUGUGUGGCUGAUCUAUACGACCUUCCCAUAUAAGAAAAUGCAAUACAAGUGAUUUCUUUUCUACCCCUACCAUACCACAUAUUCCAAUAAUAGUGAUGCUUUCAUUUCUCAAAGCCACCAUUACCUCUUCCUCAAUCGAUUUUCUUGAUGCAAACUCCUCAUCGCCGUUAUUUGGUAUAGCUUCAAUUCCAACAAGUGGUGCAGGAUAGGAGAAAUCAACAUAAUCUCCGCCAUCCACUGCAAUUUUCUUAGCUCUUCUGCUCAGCAAGUAACUGUUAGAUCUACAAAAUUGCAGAUUCAUGUGUUGAGAAAACCCUAAAGGUGGAGAAGAAAGAGGAGAAACAGUGUUUCAUUGUGUAAUGAGUUCAUCUGUACAUUAGGCGUAUUUACCUAAAUAAUAGAAAUAUGGACGGGCCAAUGCCAACUUGGGCCUGGAUCAACAUUUUGAAACAUGGGCCGAUG